RNAcentral lists this ribosomal RNA (253 nucleotides) under uncultured bacterium. RNAcentral's name for it is "partial 16S ribosomal RNA". It matches the Rfam family "Bacterial small subunit ribosomal RNA", at positions 524 to 776 of the family's 1533-position model. The record is from RNAcentral.
UACAGAGGGUGCAAGCGUUGUUCGGAAUUAUUGGGCGUAAAGCGCGUGUAGGCGGCUUAGCAAGUCGGGCGUGAAAGCCCUCGGCUCAACCGAGGAACUGCGCUCGAUACUGCAUGGCUUGAGGUCCGGAGGGGAGAGUGGAAUUCCCGGUGGAGCGGUGAAAUGCGUAGAGAUCGGGAAGAACGCCGGCGGCGAAAGUGACUCUCUGGUCGGACCUUGACGCUGAGGCGCGAAAGCUAGGGGAGCAAACGGG